CAGCUCCCGGAAACUUGGUAAGUAGAAAUCCUGGCCUCACCCGGUAAUUACGCUAACCCUACGUAAGCACUCUGUUCACUGAAGAGUUUAGAACGGGUUUUCAAAGACAUGACUUACUUUCCCUACUUGUCUCUGAGUAUCAUUUAAUUUUGAAUUAACUUAAUUAUUGGAAGACAGAAAAAGGCUCCCAAAGCCAGAACAGAGCCAUGCCAGAAGCCUGGUCAUCCCACCCACUACGACAGACGGACCAAGGUGGGGCCUGUGAGCGUUGUUGAACCCAGGAAGACGAAAAGAACAAGUACUCAAAGACAACAGGCAAAUGUGAAGAAGGCCAAUCCAAUCUUCAUCUUGUAAUACGACCAAAACCAGCGGGGCAAAUGGGUCAGGAGCUCUGAAAUGACCCAGUUAAGUUCUGAGCAACGACAGAAAGAAGGACAUGUGUCACAUGGGCACCUCAUUUCCCAUCCUGUGCUACGCUGUCCUUCGCUGCAAAGCCCCCCUAGGGGCCAGCCCUGCCCUGCAGAGUGGGGGACGCCACAGCUCCGUGCAACACAGCCAGGCAGCCAACCGGAACCCCAGAGCCACGUCCUCCCCACGUCCGCUGCUUAACUGAACCAUCGACAUGAAAGCCACGCAGCCAGAAAUAAAACAAUAAGUUUCACCCGGGCCAAAACAAGCUUUGCAAAUCCCUAAAAUAAAGUAGCCCACUGAAUGAAAAUAAGCAGGGGAGGGUGGAAAAACAGUCGCUGGAAUCUGGUGUGCAGUCAGCACCAUCAGAAGCACGAUGUUGUUUUUGUAUAAAAAAGGAAAGUGGUGCCUCAGGAGGACCUGGAGGAGGCCAGCGGUCCAGGAACAACAUCCUGAGCGAUCGGCCGCGACAGCCACAGAGCAGCUGCACCAGCAGACCGACGCUGCUGCAAAGCUCACCUGCAGGGUCUUGCUCUCCCGUCAGGCGAGAAGGCCUCAUCUUGGAGUGACCAUCGCACCCAGCUCCACAAGACCAAAGGAUGUAUUUUUCAAGCUGAACGAUACACAUGUUAUCAUGAAAGUUUAAAGUUUGGAAUGUUAGCCCCAAGCAUGACGCUGCAAUAAAAUCGGGUCAAAUGGGUUUUCUUCACAUAGAAAUCUAAACUCCUGACCCACCAACUAGAGCCUGGGACCUAUUGUCUUCCUAAUACUGAGGAAGGAUGCUCUGUGCCUGACCAUCACCACCCUCUUGGUUGGUCAUGCCUGGGACUACCGUGCAGGGACCAUCCUUAAGCGGAAGCAUGGUCUGGGAAUAUAUGUCCUCUCCAGACAGUCCCUCUCUCCUUGCACCUAGGUAGGCAGGGAUCUCUUUAGAAGAAUCUCAGCUGUAUCUUUCUGUCCCUUCUGAACUUCCCCCCAUCUCCCCCGCUCCACAAUGCCCCCAGCAUCUGACUGCCCCUCGCUUCAACUUUUCUCUUGGCAGAGGCCGCCUACCCGGCCCCAUGACUCAGCACCCAUAGGGGUACUCCUGGGCACCUGCCCAUUUGGAAAUGUACUCAAGCAAGGGCAUGCUGCUUUCGGUUGUGAAGCAGAGCCCCUGGGCUGACUCAUCCUGACUCUGGAGAUGAAACCACCUGAUGCUUCCAGGGUUAAAGGGACAGAAAUAAUAAGCGGUUUCAUGAAAGUUCUGAGGGAGUUGGUCAAAAUCUCAGGCUACAUCUCUAAAAGAUCAACAGCAACAAAAACAAAUCUUAUCAAACAGAAGAGAUGAGUUGAGUAAUUCCUCAGUAUGAGCCAUGAGUCCUCCCUGACCAUCUAUUUAAAGUCUCAAAUUCUGUCUUAACCUCCUCACUCUAGUCUACAUUUUCUCCUUUUCUUAGCACUUAAACUCCUCAAGAAACAUACCAUUUAUUCUAGUAUUAUGGUUACUACUUUUCUCUUUCUCCCUACUAGAAUGUAAGUCCUGUGAGGGUUGGGAUUUUGCAUCGUUCAGUGGUGUACACUAAGGCCUUAAUAAAUAUUGUUUGAAUGAA
Long non-coding RNA from Mustela lutreola (European mink), 2000 nucleotides. RefSeq lists it as uncharacterized. The transcript is spliced from 3 exons. Lineage: Eukaryota; Metazoa; Chordata; Mammalia; Carnivora; Mustelidae. The record is from RefSeq and is a predicted model, not a curated record.